This 2145-nucleotide ribosomal RNA is filed under the name Plasmodium falciparum 309.1. Its description in RNAcentral is "SSU rRNA". It matches the Rfam family "Eukaryotic small subunit ribosomal RNA". The record is from RNAcentral. Lineage: Eukaryota; Apicomplexa; Aconoidasida; Haemosporida; Plasmodiidae.
CCUGGUUGAUCUUGCCAGUAGUCAAUAUGCUUGUCUCACAGAUUAAGCCAUGCAAGUGAAAGUACAUAUGUAAAAUAAUAUAUUGAAACUGCGAACGGCUCAUUAAAACAGUUAUAAUCUACUUGAUGUUUUUAAUAUAAGGAUAACUACGGAAAAUCUGUAGCUAAUACUUGUGAAAAUACCUUUUGAUAUAUACAUAUGUAUGUAUCAUUAAGGUAUGUAUUUGUUAGAUAUAAGAAUAAAAUAAAUAUAAUUGAAUUAUAACAAAGAAGAAACACAUAAAAAUAUGUGUAUUAUCAAUCGAGUAUCUGACCUAUCAGCUUUUGAUGUUAGGGUAUUGACCUAACAUGGCUAUGACGGGUAACGGGGAAUUAGAGUUCGAUUCCGGAGAGGGAGCCUGAGAAAUAGCUACCACAUCUAAGGAAGGCAGCAGGCGCGCGUAAAUUACCCAAAUUCUAAAAAAAAGAGAGGUAGUGACAAGAAAUAACAAUACAAUAUCGAAAAAUGAUUUUGUAAUUGGAAUGAUAGGAAUUUACAAGGUUCCUAGAGAAACAAUUGGAGGGCAAGUCUGGUGCCAGCAGCCGCGGUAAUUCCAGCUCCAAUAGCAUAUAUUAAAAUUGUUGCAGUUAAAACGUUCGUAGUUGAAUAUUAAAGAAUCCGAUGUUUCAUUUAAACUGGUUUGGGAAAACCAAAUAUAUUAUAUAUUUUGCUUUGUUCAAAAUAAGGUUUUCUAAUAAAUUAUGUUUUUAUCAGAUAUGACAGAAUCUUUUUUAAAAUCUCUUCAAUAUGCUUUUAUUGCUUUUGAGAGGUUUUGUUACUUUGAGUAAAAUUAAGUGUUCAUAACAGACGGGGUAGUCAUGAUUGAGUUCAUUGUGUUUGAAUACUACAGCAUGGAAUAACAAAUAUGAAUAAGCUAAUUAUUUUUUUUUUUCAUUAUUUUUUUUGAUAUUCUUAUUAGCUUAGUUACGAUUAAUAGGAGUAGCUUUGGGGGCAUUCGUAUUCAGAUGUCAGAGGUGAAAUUCUAAGAUUUUCUGGAGACGGACUACUGCGAAAGCAUUUGCCUAAUCUAUUUCCAUUAAUCAAGAACGAAAGUAAGGGAGUGAAGACGAUCAGAUACCGUCGUAAUCUUAACCAUAAACUAUACCGACUAGGUGUUGGAUGAAUAUAAAAAAAAUAAAUAUGUAGCAUUUCUUAGGGAAUGUUGAUUUUAUAUUAGAAUGCUUCCUUCAGUACCUUAUGAGAAAUCAAAGUCUUUGGGUUCUGGGGCGAGUAUUCGCGCAAGCGAGAAAGUUAAAAGAAUUGACGGAAGGCACCACCAGGCGUGGAGCUUGCGGCUUAAUUUGACUCAACACGGGAAAAACUCACUAGUUUAAGACAAGAGUAGGAUUGACAGAUUAAUAGCUCUUUCUUGAUUUCUUGGAUGGUGAUGCAAUGGCCGUUUUAGUUCGUGAAUUGAUUUGUCUGGUUAAUUCCGAUAACGAACGAGAUCUUAACCUGCUUAAUUAGCGGUAAGUACACUAUAUUUUUUAUUUGAAAUUGAAUAUAGGUAAUUAUACAUGUUUAUUGAGUGUUCAAAUUAGGAUAUUUUUUUAUUAAAAUAUUCUUUUCCCUGUUCUACUAUAAUAAUUUGUUUUUUUUUACUUCUAUUUCUCUCUUCUUUUAAGAAUGUACUUGUUUGAAUUAAAUUAAAGCUUCUUAGAGGAACAGUGUGUAUCUAACACAAGGAAGUUUAAGGCAACAACAGGUCUGUGAUGUCCUUAGAUAAACUAGGCUGCACGCGUGCUACAAUGAUAUAUAUAACAAGUUGUUAAAAAUGUACUUAUAAAUAGUGUGUACAGUUUUUCCUGUACUGAAAAGUAUAGGUAAUCUUUAUCAGUAUAUAUCGUAAUUGGGAUAGAUUAUUGCAAUUAUUAAUCUUGAACGAGGAAUGCCUAGUAAGCAUGAUUCAUUAGAUUGUGCUGACUACGUCCCCUGCCCUUUGUACACACCGCCCGUCGCUCCUACGAUUGAAAGAUAUGAUGGAAUUGUUUGGAUAUGAAUUAAAUAAUGAAAUUUUAUAUUUUCUGAUUUUUUCUAGAAGAACUGUAAAUCCUAUCUUUUAAAGGAAGGAGAAGUCGUAACAAGGUUUCCGUAGGUGAACCUGCG